RNAcentral lists this unclassified non-coding RNA (248 nucleotides) under Rhodomonas ovalis. RNAcentral's name for it is "iron transporter like". The record is from RNAcentral. Lineage: Eukaryota; Cryptophyceae; Pyrenomonadales; Pyrenomonadaceae.
CAGGAUUCGUAGUCCUGCAGAGGUCCUCAGUUGUUGAUUCUAUCGCUAUGCAGUAUGGAGGGGCCUUGUACAUCAGCGGAUCCGGCAGCGUUACUAUAAGCCGCAGCCUUGUCGCUCGCUCUCGCGCUGGCUCAGCGGGCGGCUGCUUUUACGCAGGCGGUGGCGAGCUCAUGCUCGUUUCAUCCACGGCUGAAGACUGCACCUCGUCCGACUCCGUUGGAGGAGUUCUGAGUGUAUCACCACCAAAC